RNAcentral lists this ribosomal RNA (253 nucleotides) under uncultured bacterium. RNAcentral's name for it is "partial 16S ribosomal RNA". It matches the Rfam family "Bacterial small subunit ribosomal RNA", at positions 524 to 776 of the family's 1533-position model. The record is from RNAcentral.
UACGGAGGGUGCGAGCGUUGUCCGGAAUCACUGGGCGUAAAGGGCGCGUAGGCGGACUGUUAAGUCGGGGGUGAAAUCCUGGGGCUCAACCUCAGAAUUGCCUCCGAUACUGGCAGUCUCGAGUGCGGGAGAGGUGAGUGGAAUUCCCAGUGUAGAGGUGAAGUUCGUAGAUAUUGGGAAGAACACCAGUGGCGAAGGCGGCUCACUGGCCCGUAACUGACGCUGAGGUGCGAAAGCGUGGGGAGCAAACAGG